AUACGGAGGGUCCGAGCGUUAUCCGGAAUCAUUGGGUUUAAAGGGUCCGUAGGCGGGAAUCUAAGUCAGUGGUGAAAUCUUGCAGCUCAACUGUAAAAUUGCCAUUGAUACUGGAUUUCUUGAAUUAGUGUGAAGUGGUUAGAAUGUGUAGUGUAGCGGUGAAAUGCAUAGAUAUUACACAGAAUACCAAUUGCGAAGGCAGAUCACUAACACUAUAUUGACGCUGAGGGACGAAAGCGUGGGGAGCGAACAGAAUUAGAAACCCCAGUAGUCC
Molecule: ribosomal RNA, 274 nt
Filed under: uncultured bacterium
Lineage: Bacteria
Description: partial 16S ribosomal RNA
Rfam family: Bacterial small subunit ribosomal RNA
Source: RNAcentral